GAUGAACGCUGGCGGCGUGCCUAAUACAUGCAAGUCGAGCGAACAGACGAGGAGCUUGCCCCUCUGACGUUAGCGGCGGACGGGUGAGUAACACGUGGAUAACCUACCUAUAAGACUGGGAUAACUUCGGGAAACCGGAGCUAAUACCGGAUAAUAUAUUGAACCGCAUGGUUCAAUAGUGAAAGACGGUUUUGCUGUCACUUAUAGAUGGAUCCGCGCCGCAUUAGCUAGUUGGUAAGGUAACGGCUUACCAAGGCAACGAUGCGUAGCCGACCUGAGAGGGUGAUCGGCCACACUGGAACUGAGACACGGUCCAGACUCCUACGGGAGGCAGCAGUAGGGAAUCUUCCGCAAUGGGCGAAAGCCUGACGGAGCAACGCCGCGUGAGUGAUGAAGGUCUUCUGAUCGUAAAACUCUGUUAUUAGGGAAGAACAAAUGUGUAAGUAACUAUGCACGUCUUGACGGUACCUAAUCAGAAAGCCACGGCUAACUACGUG
This 497-nucleotide ribosomal RNA is filed under the name uncultured bacterium. RNAcentral's name for it is "partial 16S ribosomal RNA". It matches the Rfam family "Bacterial small subunit ribosomal RNA", at positions 28 to 507 of the family's 1533-position model. The record is from RNAcentral.